This 1358-nucleotide ribosomal RNA is filed under the name uncultured bacterium. RNAcentral describes it as "bacterial SSU rRNA". It matches the Rfam family "Bacterial small subunit ribosomal RNA", at positions 28 to 1381 of the family's 1533-position model. The record is from RNAcentral.
GAUGAACGCUAGCUACAGGCUUAACACAUGCAAGUCGAGGGGCAGCAUGGUCUUAGCUUGCUAAGGCCGAUGGCGACCGGCGCACGGGUGAGUAACACGUAUCCAACCUGCCGUCUACUCUUGGACAGCCUUCUGAAAGGAAGAUUAAUACAAGAUGGCAUCAUGAGUCCGCAUGUUCACAUGAUUAAAGGUAUUCCGGUAGACGAUGGGGAUGCGUUCCAUUAGAUAGUAGGCGGGGUAACGGCCCACCUAGUCUUCGAUGGAUAGGGGUUCUGAGAGGAAGGUCCCCCACAUUGGAACUGAGACACGGUCCAAACUCCUACGGGAGGCAGCAGUGAGGAAUAUUGGUCAAUGGGCGAGAGCCUGAACCAGCCAAGUAGCGUGAAGGAUGACUGCCCUAUGGGUUGUAAACUUCUUUUAUAAAGGAAUAAAGUCGGGUAUGGAUACCCGUUUGCAUGUACUUUAUGAAUAAGGAUCGGCUAACUCCGUGCCAGCAGCCGCGGUAAUACGGAGGAUCCGAGCGUUAUCCGGAUUUAUUGGGUUUAAAGGGAGCGUAGAUGGAUGUUUAAGUCAGUUGUGAAAGUUUGCGGCUCAACCGUAAAAUUGCAGUUGAUACUGGAUAUCUUGAGUGCAGUUGAGGCAGGCGGAAUUCGUGGUGUAGCGGUGAAAUGCUUAGAUAUCACGAAGAACUCCGAUUGCGAAGGCAGCCUGCUAAGCUGCAACUGACAUUGAGGCUCGAAAGUGUGGGUAUCAAACAGGAUUAGAUACCCUGGUAGUCCACACGGUAAACGAUGAAUACUCGCUGUUUGCGAUAUACUGCAAGCGGCCAAGCGAAAGCGCUAAGUAUUCCACCUGGGGAGUACGCCGGCAACGGUGAAACUCAAAGGAAUUGACGGGGGCCCGCACAAGCGGAGGAACAUGUGGUUUAAUUCGAUGAUACGCGAGGAACCUUACCCGGGCUUAAAUUGCAGAUGAAUUACGGUGAAAGCCGUAAGCCGCAAGGCAUCUGUGAAGGUGCUGCAUGGUUGUCGUCAGCUCGUGCCGUGAGGUGUCGGCUUAAGUGCCAUAACGAGCGCAACCCUUGUUGUCAGUUACUAACAGGUUCCGCUGAGGACUCUGACAAGACUGCCAUCGUAAGAUGUGAGGAAGGUGGGGAUGACGUCAAAUCAGCACGGCCCUUACGUCCGGGGCUACACACGUGUUACAAUGGGGGGUACAGAGGGCCGCUACCACGCGAGUGGAUGCCAAUCCCCAAAACCUCUCUCAGUUCGGACUGGAGUCUGCAACCCGACUCCACGAAGCUGGAUUCGCUAGUAAUCGCGCAUCAGCCACGGCGCGGUGAAUACGUUCCCGGGCCU